GGGGGUGUCCCGGUUUCGACUGGUCGCGCUGAACGUCAACUGCAUACCGAGGAUGAUCGUUGGCCUCGUUAAUCAUCGGUCAAUCCAAUAACUGCGAACGAAGAGUACGCACUCGCUGCCUAAUUAGCUGCGGCGACGUCUUCUCCCCGACGGGCGCUGGGGGAACAAGGCGAUAAUCCGCGUCCUGGUUCUCAUGGUUUUUCCGCCGCCAUGGAACGAGAUUUCAGACGGAACAGUCGCAAAGAAGCCCGUUUGCCGGCUCCCGGCGCGACGAUAAGCAUCAAAGGCAAAACAUGUAUGUAGACGUUGCCGCUAUGCCUUCUCAGGACAGGGGUUCGACUCCCCUCACCUCCACCA
Molecule: transfer-messenger RNA, 357 nt
Filed under: Victivallales
Lineage: Bacteria; Pseudomonadati; Lentisphaerota; Lentisphaeria
Also listed under: 1 other name
Description: UBA1732 sp902778895 Standard tmRNA
Rfam family: transfer-messenger RNA
About the family: Bacterial tmRNA, also known as 10Sa RNA or SsrA, is named for its dual tRNA and mRNA-like properties. Its role is to liberate the mRNA from a stalled ribosome. To accomplish this part of the tmRNA is used as a reading frame that ends in a translation stop signal.
Source: RNAcentral